Molecule: ribosomal RNA, 253 nt
Filed under: uncultured bacterium
Lineage: Bacteria
Description: partial 16S ribosomal RNA
Rfam family: Bacterial small subunit ribosomal RNA
Source: RNAcentral
UACGUAGGGUGCGAGCGUUAAUCGGAAUUACUGGGCGUAAAGCGUGCGCAGGCGGUUCGCCAAGUCAGGUGUGAAAUCCCCGGGCUUAACCUGGGAAUUGCGCUUGAAACUAGCGGGCUUGAGUGUGGCAGAGGGGGGUGGAAUUCCACGUGUAGCAGUGAAAUGCGUAGAGAUGUGGAGGAACACCGAUGGCGAAGGCAGCCCCCUGGGUCAAUACUGACGCUCAUGCACGAAAGCGUGGGGAGCAAACAGG